This is a long non-coding RNA of Canis lupus familiaris (dog), 1263 nucleotides long. RefSeq lists it as uncharacterized. Lineage: Eukaryota; Metazoa; Chordata; Mammalia; Carnivora; Canidae. The record is from RefSeq and is a predicted model, not a curated record. The transcript is spliced from 3 exons.
UAAGAGAUUAUGACAUCAGAUCUAGAUUGAAGAAUCUAGAAGACUUCUCUCUGUGGUAUAAACAUUUAGCCUCCAAAGAAUAAACCAGAACUUGGCUGGGCAGACUUGCUCAGGAUGAGAGGUUCCAGGAAUAGGGGGAUGUGGAAAGGCACAGAAGAUACUAGGGGAUUGUGGUGGGUCUUAAGAAAAGAUAGGUACACAAGUUCUCUAGCUGGAACUUAGAGGGUAAAGAAGGGGAAGAAUGCACUGGAGCUGGCACUGGAUAUAGAGCUCCAUAAGCCAUUCUGGCCUCUGUUGACCAGGUAGAAGACAAAACUAUAGUCCACACUCUUCGUCCAAGUAUGAAGGAAAAUAUUACAAAAUGGAAACUGCCAGUAAGGCAAGAACUCUACUUAAAACACAUCAACACACAUGCAGAACUUUCCUUACUUCUGAGGGAGAAAAGAAGAAUGGAGGCAAUGUUCAACCUAAAAAAAGUAUUAUUUCUAAGUGGAAAGCUACAAGCUCUGAAACCAGAACACUGAAACAUCAAACCCUUAUUUCAUGGACCCCUUAACAGUUUAAAAAGAAUCCUUAAGUUUGUCUAAAAUUUUACACAAUGUUAUAUGUCAAUUAUAUUUCAAUAGAGCUGGGAGUGCACAGGGAAAGAAAAUACUUUUAAUUGUUGAGACACUCCAACCUAACAAAAUAUGAAUGCCAAAGUGAGCUUCAUUCUUGGUCAGGGGUGGGCAAUCGCUCUGGAAACAGAACAAAGUCUUAGAGAUCCUGUUAAAACCUCCUGUUUGACAUGGAAGAACUCCAAGCUGUUUGUUACAGGAGAAUCCUGUGUCUUUAGCUUGAAAGCAACACAAUUUCCUAAAGUAUAUUUAUAUAAGCCAUGCAGUUUCACACAAUAUAAUAGUCACCACCAUGAUUCUGAAGAGUCGCAUCUGAUGAGUCAGACACUACCAGUUAUCUUUAAAGGUAACGUAAUAAUUAUACAUCUUAAACAGAUGAAAUGUGAGAAAGGCAGCACUUUGAAGAAAGAGCAGAGCUAGAACUAGACAACUGGAAUCCAAUCUUCAUUCCGAUGCUUAGGUAGAACUCUGGGCAAGCCCCCCCCCCCCUUUACUCUGAGCCUCAGUUUCUUUUCUGAGAAACUCCUAACUUCAGAGUUGUGGUGAUUUAAUGAAAUUAUGUGUUUAAUGCCCCUAGCACAAGAGUACAAGCACUACAAGAACACUAAUAUCCUCCUCUCUCCUUUAUUGUAUCAUCUAAUGUGUU